ACGGGGUGCAGCAGGCGAGAAAACUUUGCAAUGUGCGAAAGCACGACAAGGUUAAUCCGAGUGAUUUCUGCUAAAGGAAUCUUUUGUCAGUCCUAGAAACACUGUUGAAUAAGGGGUGGGCAAGUUCUGGUGUCAGCCGCCGCGGUAAAACCAGCACCUCAAGUGGUCAGGAUGAUUAUUGGGCCUAAAGCAUCCGUAGCCUGCUUUGUCAGUUUUCGGUUAAAUCCAUACGCUCAACGUAUGGGCUGCCGGAAAUACUGCAAAGCUAGGGAGUGGGAGAGGUAGACGGUACUCGGGAGGAAGGGGUAAAAUCCUUUGAUCUCUCGAUGACCACCUGUGGCGAAGGCGGUCUACCAGAACACGUCCGACGGUGAGGGAUGAAAGCUGGGGGAGCAAACCGGAUUAGAUACCCGGGUAGUCCCAGCUGUAAACUAUGCAAACUCAGUGAUGCAUUGGCUUGAUGCCAAUGCAGUGUUGCAGGGAAGCCGUUAAGUUUGCCGCCUGGGAAGUACGUACGCAAGUAUGAAACUUAAAGGAAUUGGCGGGGGAGCAC
RNAcentral lists this ribosomal RNA (553 nucleotides) under uncultured crenarchaeote. RNAcentral's name for it is "bacterial SSU rRNA". It matches the Rfam family "Archaeal small subunit ribosomal RNA", at positions 325 to 879 of the family's 1478-position model. Lineage: Archaea; Thermoproteati; Thermoproteota. The record is from RNAcentral.